Molecule: ribosomal RNA, 32 nt
Filed under: Ourisia simpsonii
Lineage: Eukaryota; Viridiplantae; Streptophyta; Magnoliopsida; Lamiales; Plantaginaceae
Description: partial 26S ribosomal RNA
Source: RNAcentral
CGACCGAGACCCCAUGUCAGGCGGAUUACCCG